RNAcentral lists this ribosomal RNA (1372 nucleotides) under uncultured Pelagibacterales bacterium. RNAcentral describes it as "bacterial SSU rRNA". It matches the Rfam family "Bacterial small subunit ribosomal RNA". Lineage: Bacteria; Pseudomonadati; Pseudomonadota; Alphaproteobacteria; Candidatus Pelagibacterales. The record is from RNAcentral.
CGCCUAACACAUGCAAGUCGAACGAAGUAGCAAUACUUAGUGGCAGACGGGUGAGUAACAUGUGGGUAUCUGCCCUUUGGCCUGGAAUAACACGAGGAAACUUGUGCUAAUACCGGAUAAGUCUUUACGGAGAAAGCUUUAUGCACCAUUGGAUGAGCCUGCACUUGAUUAGUUUGUUGGUGGGGUAAUGGCCUACCAAGACUGUGAUCAAUAGCUGAUUUGAGAGGAUGAUCAGCCACAUUGGGACUGAGACACGGCCCAAACUCCUACGGGAGGCAGCAGUGGGGAAUCUUGCACAAUGGAGGAAACUCUGAUGCAGCGAUGCCGCGUGAGUGAAGAAGGCCCUUGGGUUGUAAAGCUCUUUCGUCGGGGAAGAAAAUGACUGUACCCGAAUAAGAAGGUCCGGCUAACUUCGUGCCAGCAGCCGCGGUAAUACGAAGGGACCUAGCGUAGUUCGGAAUUACUGGGCUUAAAGAGUUCGUAGGUGGUUGAAAAAGUUAGUGGUGAAAUCCCAGAGCUUAACUCUGGAACUGCCAUUAAAACUUUUCAGCUAGAGUAUGAUAGAGGAAAGCAGAAUUUCUAGUGUAGAGGUGAAAUUCGUAGAUAUUAGAAAGAAUACCAAUUGCGAAGGCAGCUUUCUGGAUCAUUACUGACACUGAGGAACGAAAGCAUGGGUAGCGAAGAGGAUUAGAUACCCUCGUAGUCCAUGCCGUAAACGAUGUGUGUUAGACGUUGGAAAUUUAUUUUCAGUGUCGCAGGGAAACCGAUAAACACACCGCCUGGGGAGUACGACCGCAAGGUUAAAACUCAAAUGAAUUGACGGGGACCCGCACAAGUAGUGGAGCAUGUGGUUUAAUUCGAAGAUACGCGCAGAACCUUACCAACACUUGACAUGUUCGUCGCGACUCUAAGAGAUUAGAGUUUUCGGUUCGGCCGGACGAAACACAGGUGCUGCAUGGCUGUCGUCAGCUCGUGUCGUGAGAUGUUGGGUUAAGUCCCGCAACGAGCGCAACCCUCACUUUUAGUUGCCAUCAUUAAGUUGGGCACUCUGAAAGAACUGCCAGUGAUAAGCUGGAGGAAGGUGGGGAUGACGUCAAGUCCUCAUGGCCCUUACGUGUUGGGCUACACACGUGCUACAAUGGUAUCUACAACAGGAAGCAAGACUGCGAAGUUAAGCAAAUCCCUAAAAGAUACCUCAGUUCGGAUUGCACUCUGCAACUCGAGUGCAUGAAGCUGGAAUUACUAGUAAUCGUGGAUCAGCGUGCCACGGUGAAUGCGUUCCCGGGUCUUGUACACACCGCCCGUCACACCAUGGGAGUUGGUUCUACCUUAAGGCAAGGUUUUAAACCCUUGACCACGGUAUAGUCAGCGA